UACAGAGGUGGCAAGCGUUGUUCGGAAUUACUGGGUGUAAAGGGCGCGUAGGCGGCCUGUUAAGUCCCGUGUGAAAUCCCUCGGCUCAACCGAGGAACUGCACGGGAAACUGGCGGGCUUGAGGUCGGGGGAGGGAAGCGGAAUUCCGGGUGUAGCGGUGAAAUGCGUCGAUAUCCGGAGGAACACCGGUGGCGAAGGCGGCUUCCUGGACCGACACUGACGCUGAGGCGCGAAAGCUAGGGGAGCAAACGGG
Molecule: ribosomal RNA, 253 nt
Filed under: uncultured bacterium
Lineage: Bacteria
Description: partial 16S ribosomal RNA
Rfam family: Bacterial small subunit ribosomal RNA
Source: RNAcentral